Molecule: ribosomal RNA, 268 nt
Filed under: uncultured soil bacterium
Lineage: Bacteria
Description: partial 16S ribosomal RNA
Rfam family: Bacterial small subunit ribosomal RNA
Source: RNAcentral
AGAAUGAACGCUGGCGGCGUGCUUAACACAUGCAAGUCGAGCGAGGCCAGGGGGCAACUCCCUGAGUCGAGCGGCGGACGGGUGAGUAACACGUGGGUAACCUACCCGGAAGUGGGGAAUACCUCGGGGAAACUCGAGCUAAUACCGCAUGACAUCUCGAGGACGAAAGUUCUUGUGAUCAAAGCGGGGCCGCAAGGCCUCGUGCUACCGGAUGGGCCCGCGCCCGAUUAGCUAGUUGGCGAGGUAAUGGCUCACCAAGGCGACGAUC